Molecule: long non-coding RNA, 869 nt
Organism: Nicotiana tabacum (common tobacco)
Lineage: Eukaryota; Viridiplantae; Streptophyta; Magnoliopsida; Solanales; Solanaceae
Source: RefSeq, a predicted model, not a curated record
UUCAACCUAGGAAAACAUUAAAGAUCUAAAAUCAUCUGAACUUCACUCAAAACACACAGUCGCCGACCAACUCCACCAUUCUCACCGCCAGCGAACUCCUCCAAACGACCACCCCUUCAGCCAUCUCCUCACCUGCUGCUGCUUCACUCACACUACACCCACCCGUCUCCCUCACGCUAGAAAACAUGCAUAAAACAGCUGCACCCGACCUCAACACCCAAGGACUGCCCUAUCUCAAAAUCAGAUUUUAUAGAUACAAAAAAAAAAAACCUAGGGCCUAAUCUAGACGAAGAGCAGCGACAAUUCGUUCACCUUAACCUCUAAGUCAUAGUUGUUUCCACCUUCUUCUCCUUUACAAAAAGAAGCAGUCAUCCUCACCAAAAACACCACCAAGGUGCCGACUUACCCUAGAUCCAAAACAUAAAGCCAGCAGCACCAAAAACACACACAGAGGACGAAACUCGAUCUGGUCGGUCCUGAGUUUGAGUCGAAGAGGUCUGUCAAAGAGAUUCGCGGUCCGAGCUGCUACUACUGUUGCACUUUCGGGUCAGAUUUGGUUUUUCGGGAUUUGCUAUGACUAAAGUCAUGUUUAAUAUGAAGAAAUCAUUGAUGAGGUAUGUAUCAAUUUGCUAGAGUUUGAGCAUGACAAAAGUCAUUCUAGUCAAGACCAUUGCAUGCACGAGCUGCUUGAGGAAACUUUUUAUUUUUUAGUCUAUUUUAUGUUGUCUUUUAAUUAUUAGUCUUGUACAGUAGUAUUGAGUCUGUCAGUCUAGUUAAGAUUGUCAAGUCUUUCAUUAUCGUACUAUCUGUUUUGUAUUUGAAAAACCAAAAAAAUUAUAAAUGAAAAUCCAAAAAGAUUUUUAUUUUUA